Molecule: ribosomal RNA, 460 nt
Filed under: uncultured bacterium
Lineage: Bacteria
Description: partial 16S ribosomal RNA
Rfam family: Bacterial small subunit ribosomal RNA
Source: RNAcentral
CCUACGGGUGACAGCAGUGAGGAAUAUUGGUCAAUGGACGAGAGUCUGAACCAGCCAAGUAGCGUGCAGGAUGACUGCCCUAUGGGUUGUAAACUUCUUUUAUAUGGGAAUAAAAUGUUCCACGUGUGGGAUUUUGUAUGUACCAUAUGAAUAAGGAUCGGCUAACUCCGUGCCAGCAGCCGCGGUAAUACGGAGGAUCCGAGCGUUAUCCGGAUUUAUUGGGUUUAAAGGGAGCGUAGGUGGAUGGUUAAGUCAGUUGUGAAAGUUUGCGGCUCAACCGUGAAAUUGCAGUUGAAACUGGCAGGCUUGAGUGCAGUAGAGGUAGGCGGAAUGCGUGGUGUAGCGGUGAAAUGCUUAGAUAUCACGAAGAACUCCGAUUGCGAAGGCAGCUCACUGGACUGCAACUGACACUGAGGCUCGAAAGUGUGGGUAUCAAACAGGAUUAGAUACCCCUGUAGUC